Long non-coding RNA from Drosophila ananassae, 294 nucleotides. RefSeq lists it as uncharacterized. The record is from RefSeq and is a predicted model, not a curated record. NCBI's taxonomy places the organism in Eukaryota, Metazoa, Arthropoda, Insecta, Diptera, Drosophilidae. The transcript is spliced from 3 exons.
CUGGAAUUUAAAAAUAUUUUACGAAUUGAUCAUUUAUGGAUUUUGCCAAAUCUCACCAGGCUCUCUCUAAAUUGUAAUAAGAUUGAGGCAAUUGAAAAUAUUGAGAUGUUAACUAACCUAAAGGAAUUAAAUUUAAGCUUCAACUUUAUUGAAAAAAUUGAAAAUUUGGAUGCAUUGGUUAAUCUUGAAGUUGUAUCGUUAUUUAGUAACAGAAUUGAAAUUAUAGAAAAUAUGGAUAAAUUAUCAAAAUUGGUCAUCAUAAGUCUUGGAAAUAAUUUAAUUGAUUCUGUUGAA